RNAcentral lists this non-coding RNA (67 nucleotides) under Limosilactobacillus oris. RNAcentral describes it as "Lactobacillus oris Fluoride sequence". It matches the Rfam family "Fluoride riboswitch aptamer (crcB RNA motif)". The record is from RNAcentral. Lineage: Bacteria; Bacillati; Bacillota; Bacilli; Lactobacillales; Lactobacillaceae.
GAUAUCAAAUGCGAUGGUGUUCGCAAUGAACCACUGGCGUAGACCAGUUGAUGACACCUGUCUCUGU